Molecule: long non-coding RNA, 1889 nt
Organism: Bombyx mori (domestic silkworm)
Lineage: Eukaryota; Metazoa; Arthropoda; Insecta; Lepidoptera; Bombycidae
Exons: 3
Source: RefSeq, a predicted model, not a curated record
ACCACUUCCCUCAUUGGGAUGUUAACUUUUCUAAGGUUACCCAGCAAUUCACAUUCAUAAUUCAUUAUGGGCACAGAGGAAUUGUUAUCAUGAUAAACGAAAAAGUUGAGUGUAAUUUUAGAUCAUUUGGAGUUUUAUUUUAAACGAUAAACCAUGAUAGUCAUUAGCAUUAAAUUUGAUCAACGAUGAAUUAUCUCAUGCUAUGAUUUGAAGUCGAUCGUACGAACAAAACAAACCACUAUAAAAUUAAUUAUAAAGAGAGUUUCAAAAAAUACAUCUAUCUAUACAAGACGUCCACGCAAAUCACUCUACAGCCUGGACUAUUACCUCCACUGGAGAGCAAAAAAACAUCAUGGCCACGAGAAAUACAUCAAGUUCUUUCAAUAGCUUAAUGGGAAAACGUAAAUACGUUUGUAAAAUAAAUACAUUUUUCAUCAUAAUAUUAAACAUAAUUGAAAUAACCAAUAAAGGAAUCUGACGAGUUAAUGACGUUGAACCAAGAAUGACAGCAACAGACACGAAGAAUGACGUACAAUUUCAAUUUAAUACCCGAAAUAAUCAGUGUAAAUCUAAACUUACAGAAAGUAUAUAGCAAAAGAUAUAUAACGAUUGCUACUUCAUAUACUCGUACAAUGUGACAACCAAACAUUCUAGAUCGAUCUAGAACGGUCGAAUUCACACAGACUUUCUUCUGUGCUAUGAACAAUGGAAACACGAGUGCGAGACAAAAAAAAAAAAACUAAGUUACUAACACCGACAGGAAUCCGGAUACCGUGAUACUAGUAAGAAUUACAAAAUUAGCGAAGUGAUUAAUAAUAAAACAGCCCAUGGAUUGUAUAUUUAAAGCUAUCUUCUACUAGGAUUCGUAUUGACAGUCGUGCAAUUGUCGUCAACGAUAUUCUACAAAUAAACUAGCGGACCUGACAGAAGUUGUCCUGUACACACGCCUUAAAUAUACGAGUAAUAUAUGAGUCGUCUAUUAUCAAAGGUGGCAAUCUGUGCAUUUGGACAAAAAAAUGCUAUUGAUAUGUCAAUACAGAUUGAUUUGAAUAUAAUCGUCUCCUUCAAAGAAUACGGUGCAAAACCUGCAUUAAAUAAAGGUUAAUACUUAACCUGUUAUUUAUCUAAGAUGUCGUUCAGAAGAGUUUUGUGACUACCAAUGGAAUACAAAGUCAAUAAUUCGUUUUUCUGAUUUACCAAUAAUUGUCCAAAAGUCACAUUGCCGGCUUUGAUAAUAGUCGACUCAUAUAUAGGACCUCUUGUGAGUCCGCACGGGUAGGUAUUUUAUUCGAGCCGCCGGCGCCGUUGUAGCUAUAACUGGGACCUUAGAACUUAUAUCUGAAGGUGGGUGGCGCAUUUACGUUGUAGAUGUCUAUGGGCUCCAGUAACCACUUAACACCAGGUGGGCUGUGAGCUCGUCCACCCGUCUAAGCAAUAAAAAAAAGAAUAAUAAUAAUAUAGUUGACCGAGUUGUGAAUCUAAACCAUUCUAGAAUCUACACCAACACACACACAAAAAUUCAUUAAAAUCGGUCCAUGCGUUUAUGAGGAGUUCAGUAACAUACACACGAACAGAAGAAUCUUAAAUAUAAUAUUAAGAUACGAUUAUUUAAUGAUUUUCAGAAGGAACCAGUCUUUCGGUAGAUUAAUGCGAUUCGAAUUACUCUCUAGUACCUUCUUAAUAGUCUUACUAAUCUAAUCUAGUUGUUUCGUAUAUUUUAAUUGUAUUAAUGGAGUAUGACAUUAUUUCCACGAAGAUUAUUUAUUUUAUAAGAAUUUUCUGCAAAUUGGAUUCUUAUUCCAGUUACAUUAGUGCCUAUAAUCUCGAAUGCCAUGUUAAUUUAGUUAUGGUUAUGUAAAUCUGUUAUGCUUAAAAUGUUACAAAUGUUA